Molecule: ribosomal RNA, 397 nt
Filed under: uncultured bacterium
Lineage: Bacteria
Description: partial 16S ribosomal RNA
Rfam family: Bacterial small subunit ribosomal RNA
Source: RNAcentral
AUACGUAGGUGGCGAGCGUUGUCCGGAAUUACUGGGCGUAAAGGAUGCGUAGGUGGAUACUUAAGUGGGAUGUGAAAUCCCCGGGCUCAACCCGGGAACUGCAUUCCAAACUGGGUAUCUAGAGUGCAGGAGAGGAAAGCGGAAUUCCUAGUGUAGCGGUGAAAUGCGUAGAUAUUAGGAGGAACACCAGUGGCGAAGGCGGCUUUCUGGACUGUAACUGACACUGAGGCGUGAAAGCGUGGGUAGCAAACAGGAUUAGAUACCCUGGUAGUCCACGCCGUAAACGAUGGGUACUAGGUGUAGGAGGUAUCGACCCCUUCUGUGCCGUCGUUAACACAAUAAGUAUUCCGCCUGGGGAGUACGGCCGCAAGGUUGAAACUCAAAUGAAUUGACGGGG